AGUAACCUGCCUUGGAGUGGGGAAUAACACAUCGAAAGAUGUGCUAAUACCGGCAUAAUGCAGUUGGGCCGCAUGGCUCUGGCUGCCAAAGAUUUAUCGCUCUGAGAUGGACUCGCGUCUGAUUAGCUGGUUGGCGGGGUAACGGCCUACCAAAGCGACGAUCAGUAGCCGGCCUGAGAGGGCGGACGGCCACAUUGGGACUGAGACACGGCCCAAACUCCUACGGAAGGCAGCAG
Molecule: ribosomal RNA, 236 nt
Filed under: uncultured bacterium
Lineage: Bacteria
Description: partial 16S ribosomal RNA
Rfam family: Bacterial small subunit ribosomal RNA
Source: RNAcentral